UUGGGUUGAAGGUAGCAAAGGAAGUGUGUGGGGCAGGUGUAUGCGGUUGGAGCCUAUAUGCAUUGUCUUCAUUCAGUCCUCGCAAAAGAAUCUCCUUCGUGUGCAAGUUCUUUACCUCAAAAUGCCAAGGGUAAAAUUCAAUAGAAACCUUGUUAGUUUGGCACAAUUGAGAAACAAAUAUCAAAUUUUGAGUAACAUUGGGAACAUAAAGGAUAUCAUAAAGCUUUAAAGAAGAACCAGUAGUGGAAAUAGUUGUUGAACUAGUAUGAGUAAUAGGAAGUUGAUUACCAUUUGCAACUUGAAGAUUAUUAGUUCCAUGGUAAUCUUUUUUAUGGACAAAUUGCUCAUGUCAUUGGUGAUGUGAUGGGAUGCACCAUAAUCAAAUAGCCAAGAGGGUGAAGAUGAGUGAGAGACCACUUGUUG
RNAcentral lists this long non-coding RNA (423 nucleotides) under Glycine max (soybean). RNAcentral's name for it is "long non-coding RNA (GMAX_LNC001299)". The record is from RNAcentral. Lineage: Eukaryota; Viridiplantae; Streptophyta; Magnoliopsida; Fabales; Fabaceae.